AUAAUUUUUUUGUGGAAGCAAAAAAAAAUUGGAUUGUAGAGAAUUAAUAUUAUACUAUUUUACCAAGGAAAAAAAGUCUUUAAAAAUACAUUUUAUACUAAAAAAGAAAAGAGAAAAUAUUGCUAACGAAGUUAAAAGCAAUUGUAAAGCAUUAAAAAUCAAUCGUUAGAGAACGUUAAGAUCGUAAAGGAAACCAUGCUUGUUAGAUUUACCAGUAUUACGUGCAAUCUAGAUUCGUCAGCCAUCGUUAAGGCAUAAUUUCUGCUGGCUUACACACACUUUCGUUUGGAGAAAAGUAUGCUUGUAGAGAGGGUAUAGUUAUCUACCUUUCUUCAAUAUUACUGAAUCCUUCUUAGGAUCCAGACGUAUAACUCACGAGUCAGAGAUAAAAAGAAAACGGGUGCUCUUUAAGAAAGAAGGAGAGAGAAAAAGAGA
This is a long non-coding RNA of Vespula pensylvanica (western yellowjacket), 435 nucleotides long. RefSeq lists it as uncharacterized. The transcript has 2 exons. Lineage: Eukaryota; Metazoa; Arthropoda; Insecta; Hymenoptera; Vespidae. The record is from RefSeq and is a predicted model, not a curated record.